Non-coding RNA from Mycena rebaudengoi, 94 nucleotides. The record is from the annotation of a GenBank genome assembly. Lineage: Eukaryota; Fungi; Basidiomycota; Agaricomycetes; Agaricales; Mycenaceae.
GGUUUAGUAGCAUAGUGGUUAAUGCACCAGGAUAAAUUAUUGUGUUAACGUCCCAGUUAUUCUGACUACUCUUGUUCGACUCAAGGCUGGACCA